RNAcentral lists this ribosomal RNA (446 nucleotides) under uncultured bacterium. RNAcentral's name for it is "partial 16S ribosomal RNA". It matches the Rfam family "Bacterial small subunit ribosomal RNA", at positions 330 to 793 of the family's 1533-position model. The record is from RNAcentral.
GCCAGACUCCUACGGGAGGCAGCAGUGGGGGAUAUUGCACAAUGGGCGCAAGCCUGAUGCAGCGACGCCGCGUGAGCGAAGAAGUAUUUCGGUAUGUAAAGCUCUAUCAGCAGGGAAGAAAAUGACGGUACCUGACUAAGAAGCUCCGGCUAAAUACGUGCCAGCAGCCGCGGUAAUACGUAUGGAGCAAGCGUUAUCCGGAAUUACUGGGUGUAAAGGGAGCGUAGGCGGCAAGGCAAGUCUGAUGUGAAACCCCGGGGCUCAACCCCGGGCAUGCAUUGGAAACUGGCGGGCUGGAGUGCCGGAGAGGUAAGCGGAAUUCCUAGUGUAGCGGUGAAAUGCGUAGAUAUUAGGAGGAACACCGGCGGCGAAGGCGGCCUGCUGGACCGUAACUGACGUUGAGGCUCGAAAGCGUGGGGAGCAAACAGGAUUAGAUACCCCCGUAU